This 493-nucleotide long non-coding RNA is filed under the name Salvia miltiorrhiza (redroot sage). RNAcentral's name for it is "long non-coding RNA (SMIL_LNC009285)". Lineage: Eukaryota; Viridiplantae; Streptophyta; Magnoliopsida; Lamiales; Lamiaceae. The record is from RNAcentral.
CAAAGGAUUAUUGUCGUGUAGCCUUUCUCAUGUGCAGAUUUCAUUCCUCUCACACAAGCCAAACCUUGUGCAUUUCAAUUAAUAUAUAUCAAUGCAAAAUCAAAAUGGUUUGUUUGCUAAAAAGAUCUUGAUAACAACGCCCUUAAAGUCUGGAACACCUCCAAGUCCGAUAGAAACUAUCUUGGUCAAUAGAUGCACUAGAGUUGAAUUUGAUCCAUCCAACCCAAACAAAGAUAUUUCUUCUACAACAUUUAAAAAAAAAAGAGAAAAAAAGAAUUAGGGCAAGAGUAUUGAAAUUAACUGAGGUUGGGCUGCAUUAGAUAUGGGCUUAUUCAGUUUAAUGAAUUCUGUGAUGGGUUUGAGAUAGACCCAACCUAAUAAAAGGCGCAAAAUCUGAUCAUUUUCACUGUCUGUCCGCUUCGUUAUAGUCAGUAGAGUGUGACACUUAAUUUCCAAAAGUAAAAUGAUAUUGAGAUUAUUAUCAUCGGUGAAC